UGAGGAAUAUUGGUCAAUGGUCGAGAGACUGAACCAGCCAAAUCGCGUGAAGGAAGAAAGUAUUAUGUAUCGUAAACUUCUUUUGCAGGGGAAUAAAAUACAUCACGUGUGGUGUAUUGCAAGUACCUUGCGAAUAAGCAUCGGCUAACUCCGUGCCAGCAGCCGCGGUAAUACGGAGGAUGCGAGCGUUAUCCGGAUUUAUUGGGUUUAAAGGGUGCGUAGGUGGUUUUUUAAGUCAGCGGUGAAAUCUUGACGCUUAACGUCAACAUUGCCGUUGAAACUGGGGAACUUGAGAGCAGACGAGGCAGGCGGAAUUCGUAGUGUAGCGGUGAAAUGCAUAGAUAUUACGAAGAACUCCGAUAGCGCAGGCAGCUUGCCAGGCUGCAGCUGACACUGAAGCACGAAAGUGUGGGAAUCAAACAGGAUUAGAUACCCUGGUAGUCCACACUGUAAACGAUGAUUACUCGCUGUUUGCGAUAUACAGCAAGCGGCCAAGCGAAAGCAUUAAGUAAUCCUACCU
This 520-nucleotide ribosomal RNA is filed under the name uncultured bacterium. Its description in RNAcentral is "bacterial SSU rRNA". It matches the Rfam family "Bacterial small subunit ribosomal RNA", at positions 355 to 874 of the family's 1533-position model. The record is from RNAcentral.